UCCAGUUGAGUCCAAUCCCAGCUUCCAUGGACCCUGACUUACCAAUUGGCUGUCCAACUGGAGUGCAAGGAGCCAGUUGGACUUUCCAAUUGGUUUUAAAAUUUCCAACUGUAGAGCCAGUUGGAAUUAAAAAUCCAGUUGGCUUUCGUAUUGGUCCAGUUGAGUCCCAUUGGAACCAAUUCAGAUUUCCAAUUGGACCCAUCCUUUCUUUUUUUUUUUUGUUUGACUGGGUAGCUGGCUCUGUAAAACCGCAUACAUCAUGUUGGCGCGGGUAUCUCUUGGUUCCAUGUCUGUUAUUUUUAGAGGUGCUUGCAGACACAUGGACUGGAGGUGACGAAUACAGCGCCUGUCCUGUGAGUCCCCCAUUUGCAGCUACAAUCACAUUUCAGGUAAACGAAAACCGUUAGCUUUUCAGAUCUGACUGUGCUGUUGUUCAAUAUCGCUGGAUUUCUAUGUACUCGCUAAUCUGACGCUAGCGUCAGUUACAGUUGGAAUGUUUGAACUGCAUGGUAUUUAUGUAAUUGAUGCCAUUGAAAUGCAGGCUGUAGAAUGAUUAUUUUUCAGAUUCCGUAACACUAUUUCCUUUUUAGCGUGUGCGCAUUUUGAUUUGCAGACCAGAAUGUGUCACGUCACGGUCUCUUUACGUCGACUUCAGAAAGUCCCAGAAUGCUUAGCACUGUUUCAAACAUUGGCAACUUGCAUUACAUCGCGGUAUGCGAAGGUCUGCAAACUACUUCAGUUCCGCGUCAUUCAGCCUAUGAUCCAUGCUGCGUGAGUCAGCAAAAAUAAAGCAUGGACUACUAUCCCUUCCCCAAUGCAAGGAGUGCUGGGAUAAACUGAUGUCGCCCAUUCUGUAAUUUUGCCAUGCUGUUAUGCAAGUGUAUAGAAAAAUGUUUUGUCUUCGAAUUUUCAGUCGGGAGUCAAAUGGGUUCUGCACAAGCAAAAUAUGAUCCCACAUGUAUGGAUUCGUAUGUGUGGAUUCGUGGAUUCCAACAUGUAUGGAUUCGGUGUCGAUAUGUGGAUCGACAUGUAUGGAUUCGGAGUAUGGAUACGUGGUGUGGUGUACAUUGUGUCUUGGAAACGUUCCUUCUUGCUACCCACAGUCGUCUACCACUCCACACGUGAGUAAAGUACUUGUUGCCUUUGGAGCAAUCAAGAUCAGUGCAUGGACCCGAAAACAGAGGCAUUGCUUGCAGCUAACAGUGAUACAAGAACUGCGAUUUGUUGGUAUGUCAUUGUGCAGAGAGGGGAUGUGCUCAUGAUGUCUGGUAACUUGUCUUGGCAUGUUUGCAACUCUAGUCAAUGUUUACCCUGUAUGUUAAUAGAAAUAAACCUUGUACCAACAUC
Ornithodoros turicata is the source of this 1347-nucleotide long non-coding RNA. RefSeq lists it as uncharacterized. The transcript is spliced from 2 exons. Lineage: Eukaryota; Metazoa; Arthropoda; Arachnida; Ixodida; Argasidae. The record is from RefSeq and is a predicted model, not a curated record.